Long non-coding RNA from Bombus pascuorum, 2220 nucleotides. RefSeq lists it as uncharacterized. The record is from RefSeq and is a predicted model, not a curated record. NCBI's taxonomy places the organism in Eukaryota, Metazoa, Arthropoda, Insecta, Hymenoptera, Apidae. The transcript is spliced from 2 exons.
ACCAACCGAUUAAUGACAAUACGAGCACAUAUACAAGCGAAUAUUCGUGUUCACCAAUCGAUUCACGGAUUUAUCUAACAGAGAUCUCGAUAUCCAGAAAUUUCGUUCUCACGUUCUUUUUCCUUUUCUGCUUGUCCCUUGCACCUGGCUUCAUCGCCAACGAAAAACAACCGCGGAGUAAUUAAUCGUUAACGAGCGAUAAUUAAUGACAAUAGGAAGUAUCGGUUCACAAGUGUCGUCCUCGAAUAACGAACGAUUGCUAAUUAAUGUUCAGCGUCGAGGAGAAUUGCCAUCAAGUUUCAAGAAGGCCUGUUAGUCUCGCGUGGCAUUUUCGCGAUAAGAGGGUAAUACUGGCGAACAAUUGUUGGAAUUUAGACGAUGAAACAAACGAUGAUUAUAAACGAAGCAAGUUUCUUCGUAUAAAUGGAUGUGUUGUAGGCUGUUUUAUGUUUGUAGUUUAACACUUUACCGACCGAUAGCCAAUUAACCGUUUUUUUGUCGCUGACAAUCUUUCUUAUUAUUUGAGCAGUACUUUGCUAUUUAGUACUAAGGUACCUUGCUCAGCUGCGUUGCUUUGUAAGCUCCCACAGUUUUAUACCAAUUUGAAAAACGUACCGUUCGCAAUGAGCAAAAAGAAUGGUAUUGGAGAGUUUAAACCGAAACAGAGCCAGCGCCAGGGAGAAUCUGCGCCUGAGAUGCCGGUCGGACGUACAUAUGCUGUUGAAUCGCCAGAGGUCGGUAAAGUGUUAAGACUAACUUCGGUUUAAGAUAAUUGAUUGUAUCUAAAAGACACAAUUUAUGGAUGAAAAAAUGUAUAUACAAAUAAUGUCACAUGGACGUGGUAAAGUAGCUUCUUUAAGUCGUAUGUUAAAAAUAUUAUAAUACCGACUUCUAGGGAGAACAAUUUUCUGAAUACAUAGAAUGUAAUUUGUUAGAUUUCUGAGGCAAACAUAAUUCUGUGAAUUAACAGGCUUAGAAUUAAUCCCGCGGGAUUGAAGAAAUGAAGGGUAAUGAACCCGAAGUGAACUUGAACCUUAUAACAUGUUUCUACUUUUCUAACGAAAUUCUACUUGAUGAAGAAUCUCAAGGAAAUUAGUAACGACGAUUCUAAGAAACAAACUAAAAAUUGUAAUCAAAGGUCUUUUAAACAAAGAUUGCUAGAUGUAAACAAAUAUUAUCAAAUAGUAUCAAAAUAGUAUUAAAAAGUAUAAACAAUUUAUCAAAUUAUAUAAUCUAUAAUCAGUGAUGAAAUGCUAUUCUAAAGCAAGGGGUUAAAAAUGAUUAUGGAUUCUCUGAUUAUUAUUGAGCUGAUAUAUUAAAAGCAAUAGAACUCGCUUGGUAUGUAAAAUCUACCUGCGACAACCUUUGUAAAACAAAUAAAACAGAAAAAGACGUUAUCAUUGUUAAGGGAGUGAUGUAGUUGCACAUGAGAGUAGAAAAGUCAACGAAAAAUUGGAAUCUGGGAGAGACCCAUAUUAUUGUGUCUUUGAAUAUGUUGAAAUUGACAGAUAGAGCAACGAGUGGAUAAAUUUGUAAUAGAAAAAUAUAUAUAGAAAUAUAAGUAUAAGUACAAGUAUAGUAUAUGAGGUCAAAAUCAAAUAAAUUGUUACCAUUAUUUAUUAAUUGAAUAUAUGAUAUUGUUGAGGUUAAGUGAUAGAGGAACGAGUGGAUGAAUUUGUAAUGGAAAAAUAUAUUGAAAUAAGUAUAGGCACAAAUGUAAGUACAGGUAUAGUGUAUGAGGUUAAAAUCAAAUAAAUUGUUAUCAUUAUUUAUUAAUUUAAUAUAUCAUAUUGUUGAGAUUGAUUGAUAGAACAACGAGUGGAUGAAUUUGUAAUAGAAAAAUAUAUUGAAAUAUAAGUAUAAGUACAAGUAUAAUGUAUGAGGUCAAAAUCAAAUAAAUUGUUAUCAUUAUUUAUUAAUUUCAUAUAUGAUAUUAUUGAGGUUAAGUGAUAGAGGAACGAGUGGAUGAAUUUGUAAUAGAAAAAUAUAUUGAAAUAAGUAUAGGUAUAAGUAUAAGUACAGGUAUAGUGUAUGCUGAUGCAGAUCCUCACUCUUACAGUGUUACAAUAAAAUAAAAAGAAGGAUAGGGAGCACGUUCAUAUCAAAGGACAUUACCAAAAAGUUAACCUUGUAGUUGUAGCUGAAGACUACAAGAAACAUACAUAGAAAUCUAUUUAUAGCUCCUUUGUUUCUAGACCUUGUAAUCCAAAACAACAUUUA